This is a long non-coding RNA of Heterocephalus glaber (naked mole-rat), 1750 nucleotides long. The record is from Ensembl. NCBI's taxonomy places the organism in Eukaryota, Metazoa, Chordata, Mammalia, Rodentia, Bathyergidae.
GGAAUGGUAUUUUUAAACUACCUUCAAAUUAUAUGCACAUGUAAUUUUAUGGAAAGAGAUACAAUAGGAAUUAAUAGUACUAUAUAUUAAGAAAAAAUAUUUUGAUAUUUAUAUACAUAUACAAGCCAAAAUAAUUAGAAAUUCUGCACCUAGUAAAAUUAUCUAAGUUUAUGCUGGAUGAGCAUCCCUCACCCAAAAUCUGAAAUGGUCCAAAAUCUGAAACUUUAAGUGCUAAUGUGAUGUAACAAGUGGAAAAUUCCAUACCCUGAAGAUUUUUUUCAAUACAUUUUUGCAGUACUGGUUAUUGAACUCAGGGCCUCGUGCAUGUGCAGCAAGUGCUCUACCACUUAGGUACAUUCUCAGCCUAUUUUAUUUUAUUUUAUUUUUGAGGCAGAUUCUCAUUAAAUUGUGUAACUGGCCUCAAAUUCAUGAUCCUGCCUCAGCCUCCCAAGUAGCUGGGAUGCAAUACAGGCAUGGGCCACCAUGUCACACUCACACCAUGAAAAUUUGUUUCAUGCACAAAAGUAUUUAAAGUACUGUAUAACAUUACCUUCGGACUACGAGUAUAUAUAAAUUUCACAUAUGAGUAUAUGUGAAACAAAUUAAUUUAGAUUUGAGUCCUAUCUCUUAGUUAUUUCAUUAUGCAUGCACAAAUAUUGAAAAUUCCAGAAGAGUCCAAUGUGCUUCUGGUCCCAGGCAUUUCAAAUAAGGGAUAUUCAACCUGUAGUUUAAUACCUUAGUCAAGACACACUGCUCCUCUGUGUUCUUUAUGGUCAGAGGAGCCCUUACUCCAGUUCUUCUGGUUUAGGGGCAGGCAAACAUUGUCAACUACUCUCUGCACUCCUCAUUUUCUUCUUCCAACCUGUUCUAGAAGUUCCAACAACCCAAGCUUACCUUCAUGUAACGUCUGCACUGCCAGUGGGAGCAUCUUUGACAUAGCAAGGAACUUCUGUUCUGGUUUGGGUUGGCAUGCUAUGCUGCUUCCUGCCCCUCCAACUUUACCCCAUCCAUGCUACUUUUGGGGCUUGCAGAGAGCAGCGGCACAACUCCGCUCAGAAAGAAAGUAGAACUUUCCACUCCUUUAAAAAAUGGGCAUUUCCACAUCUAACCAUGAGGUAACAAACACAGAUUUGCAUACUUAUUCUUCAUGUACUGUAAGAGCUGGUGAGUGGUAUUCUGUGUGCGAAACACCAGUAAAUGCAACCACGUGUGUAUGUGUGUGCACCUACAUGUGUAUAAGAAUAAUUAUGCAAGCUGUGUUGCUACUGCACUUAGGUGAGCCACUUACCACCUCUGGGUCUCCCUUUCCUCUUUGAGUUCUUGUCUAACCAUGAAUCCCAACAAUUUUCUCAGACUGGGUAAAUUGUAUUGGUGAUUUUUUUUGUCAGGUUGUGAUUUCAUAUACAUAGACACCUGUAACAUUGAAGAAUUAUUUUUCUAAGAAACCCAAAUUUUAGUUCUUAGUGUAUGAUAGCUACCUUCCUCAUAUUACACUUGGGUGGGGGGAGUUCUGGGGACAGAAGCCAAGGCCGCAGCAUGCUAGGCAAGCGCUCUACCACGGAGCUAUACCAACAGCCCCGUCACUGGUCUGUUAACACCAUUGAAAGAAACUUAAUUUGAGUUUUUCUACCUCUAAGAAAGAGGAAAUAUAAUACAUACAAGAACUCCUUUAAAAUGACAUUUCCCCCCAGAAUUAUACCCAAAUUCUGUAGUGGUUACAGAUCGCAGAUAAUUUCAGAUUUCGGAAGAG